AACGAACGCUGGCGGCAUGCCUAACACAUGCAAGUCGAACGAGACCUUCGGGUCUGGUGGCGCACGGGUGCGUAACGCGUGGGAACCUGCCCUUAGGUUCGGAAUAACUCCCCGAAAGGGGUGCUAAUACCGGAUAAAGUCUUCGGACCAAAGAUUUAUCGCCUUUGGAUGGGCCCGCGUUGGAUUAGUUAGUUGGUAGGGUAAAAGCCUACCAAGGCGACGAUCGAUAGCUGGUCUGAGAGGAUGAUCAGCCACACUGGUACUGAGACACGGCCCAGACUCCUACGGGAGGCAGCAGUGGGGAAUAUUGGACAAUGGGCGAAAGCCUGAUCCAGCAAGGCCGCGUGAGUGAUGAAGGCCUUAGGGUUGUAAAGCUCUUUUACCCGGGAGGAUAAUGACAGUACCGGGAGAAUAAGCACCGGCUAACUCCGUG
This 433-nucleotide ribosomal RNA is filed under the name uncultured bacterium. RNAcentral describes it as "partial 16S ribosomal RNA". It matches the Rfam family "Bacterial small subunit ribosomal RNA", at positions 29 to 507 of the family's 1533-position model. The record is from RNAcentral.